This 277-nucleotide unclassified non-coding RNA is filed under the name Hevea brasiliensis (rubber tree). The record is from RNAcentral. Lineage: Eukaryota; Viridiplantae; Streptophyta; Magnoliopsida; Malpighiales; Euphorbiaceae.
UCAUGAGAUUAAUUGCUGAAGAAAAAAAAUUUUAGGUUUUAUUUGUUUUAGUUUCUUAUUUUCAUUUCUGUGUUUCAUAGAUCAUCGCAGUUAUAGAAGCUUGGUACAUGUANNNNNNNGUUUUUUCUCAUAUAGCACAGAAAAUUAAAGGAACUAAUAGCCUCUAUGGCCUAGUUUUUGCAACAUUUCUAGGAUUGAAGGUAGUCGGCUAAUUCUGAUCGCUUCUUUUUCAUUGUAGUUCUCUUGAAUGCAAUCGAGUGAUCCAAUACGUUUUUUU